GAUGAACGCUAGCGGCAGGCUUAACACAUGCAAGUCGAGGGGUAUAGUUCUUCGGAACUAGAGACCGGCGCACGGGUGCGUAACGCGUAUGCAAUCUACCUUUUACAGAGGGAUAGCCCAGAGAAAUUUGGAUUAAUACCUCAUAGUAUGUGAGAAUCGCAUGGUUUUCACAUUAAAGUUCCAACGGUAAAAGAUGAGCAUGCGUCCCAUUAGCUAGAUGGUAAGGUAACGGCUUACCAUGGCGACGAUGGGUAGGGGUCCUGAGAGGGAGAUCCCCCACACUGGUACUGAGACACGGACCAGACUCCUACGGGAGGCAGCAGUGAGGAAUAUUGGACAAUGGGCGCAAGCCUGAUCCAGCCAUGCCGCGUGCAGGAUGACGGUCCUAUGGAUUGUAAACUGCUUUUGUACAGGAAGAAACCCUUCUUUGCGAAGAAGAUUGACGGUACUGUAAGAAUAAGGAUCGGCUAACUCCGUGCCAGCAGCCGAC
Molecule: ribosomal RNA, 490 nt
Filed under: uncultured bacterium
Lineage: Bacteria
Description: bacterial SSU rRNA
Rfam family: Bacterial small subunit ribosomal RNA
Source: RNAcentral